This is a long non-coding RNA of Populus euphratica (Euphrates poplar), 235 nucleotides long. RefSeq lists it as uncharacterized. NCBI's taxonomy places the organism in Eukaryota, Viridiplantae, Streptophyta, Magnoliopsida, Malpighiales, Salicaceae. The transcript has 3 exons. The record is from RefSeq and is a predicted model, not a curated record.
CGCCACCAGUGGGUGGUUGUCUGUUGUCACCAUGGCUUCAAGUUACGGCAACUUCAUUUUUUUUUGACAAAAAAGUUGCAUCUCUUGCCAAGACGCCUGGACACUUCCAUUACUUCCUCUGCGCUUAUGAUCUUUCCUUCAAAAGCCGGAACCUUUUUUUCACAUUCUUCCCGGCAUGAAAGGGCAACGAAUUGAGUUCGUUUGAUGAAAGAAGCUUCCUUGACUCUUCUCCGGG